GCCUUCGUGGUGUAGUGGUCAGCACGCUGGGAAGGUAUUCCAUAGAUCCGUGGUUCGAAUCCCGGCGAAGGUG
RNAcentral lists this transfer RNA (73 nucleotides) under Stegodyphus mimosarum. It matches the Rfam family "tRNA". From Rfam's summary of the family: Transfer RNA (tRNA) molecules are approximately 80 nucleotides in length. Their secondary structure includes four short double-helical elements and three loops (D, anti-codon, and T loops). Further hydrogen bonds mediate the characteristic L-shaped molecular structure. tRNAs have two regions of fundamental functional importance: the anti-codon, which is responsible for specific mRNA codon recognition, and the 3' end, to which the tRNAs corresponding amino acid is attached (by aminoacyl-tRNA synthetases). tRNAs cope with the degeneracy of the genetic code in two manners: having more than one tRNA (with a specific anti-codon) for a particular amino acid; and 'wobble' base-pairing, i.e. permitting non-standard base-pairing at the 3rd anti-codon position. Lineage: Eukaryota; Metazoa; Arthropoda; Arachnida; Araneae; Eresidae. The record is from Rfam by way of RNAcentral.